RNAcentral lists this ribosomal RNA (255 nucleotides) under uncultured bacterium. Its description in RNAcentral is "partial 16S ribosomal RNA". It matches the Rfam family "Bacterial small subunit ribosomal RNA", at positions 524 to 776 of the family's 1533-position model. The record is from RNAcentral.
UACGUAGGGUCCGAGCGUUGUCCGGAAUUAUUGGGCGUAAAGGGCUCGUAGGCGGUUUGUCGCGUCGGGAGUGAAAACUCAGGGCUCAACCCUGAGCGUGCUUCCGAUACGGGCAGACUAGAGGUAUGCAGGGGAGAACGGAAUUCCUGGUGUAGCGGUGGAAUGCGCAGAUAUCAGGAGGAACACCGGUGGCGAAGGCGGUUCUCUGGGCAUUACCUGACGCUGGAGGAAGCGAAAGCAUGGGGAGCGAACAGG